This is an RNA transcript of Eriocheir sinensis (Chinese mitten crab), 597 nucleotides long. RefSeq lists it as uncharacterized. The record is from RefSeq and is a predicted model, not a curated record. NCBI's taxonomy places the organism in Eukaryota, Metazoa, Arthropoda, Malacostraca, Decapoda, Varunidae. The transcript has 3 exons.
CGGCGCUCGGGUGGACAAGUAUUUUUUGCUGUGCGUUAAUUACCGCGGAGUGUGUUAGCGAUACCAGGGACUUGGAGGAAGGCGAAGAGCAGUAAGAUUACGGCGGAAGAUGCGAUUCGACAACGCCAGACCUGCAAGACAGUCCGACGUCAUCAAAGUAUCGUCUUAUUCUCGACCCAAAACCUCAGUGUCACGAUCGUUGGGCCUGAAAGGAUCACGCUUGGGUCCCGCUGCUCCUGCUAUCAGGCAUCCAGAGCACCCGAGCCUCGGCGGCGUGACUGGCUCGCGACGUAUUUUGCAUCAAGGAAAUACUCUCUUUCACGGACCAAGUUUCUUCAAGCACAAACUGUAAAUGUUUUGGUAACACAUUUUACCGAACUUCCUGAGUCGAUAUGGGGCUUCACGAUGUCAUGGUUUUAUGGCUGCAGGUGCUUGUAUGGGCAGUGGUUCAGCGGGUCUGUUCAAACAAUAAUUAAGUUUUCUAGUACCUCUGUUUUCGUAAAAGUUUGCAUCAUUGUUUCGUUCUAGUGGUAUAAGCACAAAUACCGUAUACUUCCAUUUAUAAAAGGAAUAAAACGAGCUAAAACAGUAAUGGGA